Cebus imitator (Panamanian white-faced capuchin) is the source of this 1502-nucleotide long non-coding RNA. RefSeq lists it as uncharacterized. The transcript is spliced from 2 exons. Lineage: Eukaryota; Metazoa; Chordata; Mammalia; Primates; Cebidae. The record is from RefSeq and is a predicted model, not a curated record.
AGGUCCAUCCCACAGGUUGGCGCCGCAUGGGGUAGCGGCUGGGCAGGUGCCCUCCAGCCCCUGCGCGGACUUAGGACAGGGGUAGUGACCUCAAUUGACAACCCCUCCGCUGCCCGGGGGAGGCUCGAGAUGGUCACGGGAUUGGGAUAGUGGUGUGACAGUCUCCAGGCGGCGCGGGGCGGACACCGCACGGGGCAGUGGCCAGUCCACCCCUCCGGGGCCCAGGAGAGGCUCAGCCGCGCGUGGCUCUGCCCUCUCCCCAGAGCCUCCAGCGCCCCGCCCGCGGCGCAUCUGGGGCCGGGCUCGGGCGAGCGGCCAGCCCUACCUCCUCGGUGGCCGUGGGGCAGUAGGAGAUGAGCACGAGCGUGCGCAUUUGAUGCCAGCAGGGUUGGAUAUUUUUACACACGAUCUUCCCUGGAAUUGAGGGCCGGAACCCAGGCAUGUCCUCCCCCUGCACCGGGGAAUAGACCGGCUUGCUACGCAUUGGAGGGUCACUGGCCCCUUAUCUCACAAUGCACUCUCUUGGACAGGGGACAUCUGUCAUAAACAUGUUCUGUUGUACAACCUGAGACAGGCCCGUCACUCUCUUCACUUCAUGGUUCUGAUCUGUACGCACUUUCUAAGGCCUAGGACAAGCCAGAAAUUGCUUCCAAGACACUUGCGUGGCGCAACCUCUAUCAGCAAGCGCAUCAGGGAUCCACAAACUGCUCCCGUGGGCCAGGGCCAGCCCACUGCCUGUUUUCCUACAGCCCUCCAGCUAAGUACGGUUUUUACAUUUUUAAAUGAUUGGGAAAAAAUCCAAAGAAUACUAUUUUGUAAUGUGAAAUUAUAUGAAAUUCAAAGUUCAGUGCCACAAAUAAAGCCAUGUCUAUUUCUUACAUAUUUUUUGGCUGCCUUCAUGCUACAGAGGCAGCAGAAUUCAAUUGUGACAGAGACCAUACGGCUGGCAAAGCCUGGAAUAAGUCCUACUAGGCCCUUUAAGGAAAAAAGUGGCAACCACUGCCUUAGAGCAAUGAGGAUGUCUACAGACCAAGCAUAUGUGUUUUAGGAAUAUGUAUCUUCUCAUCUUUAAUGUGAAAAGCGAUGCUGACAAAUGCAGGAAAGGAAAUGGAAUGAUGGAGAUCCACUUUUAACACUGCCGGCUUAUGUGCAGUGAUCGUGACAGUACCUACUUUUUAAUUUACCAAUGCCAUGAAUUGUCCAAGGAAAAACCCUUUUUCAGAUUAGCAAAUUUUACUGUAUUAAAAAUAAUUUCUAAUGUACAUCAAAAGACAUCAUAAAGAGAAUGAAAACGCAAGCCAUAAACUGGAAAAAGGCAUUUCCUUCAAAUAAAACCCACAAUGACUAGUACCCAGAUUACGUAAAGAACUCCUAAAAAUCAGUCAGAAACAAAAAUAAUCAAUGGGGCUAUGUUCAGUUUCUAUAGCAGAAACCCUGGAACAUGGUAAUGUAAAGAAAAUAUUUCUCUCUCACAUGAAAGAAGUAUAUAAUUGGCACUCCAA